RNAcentral lists this long non-coding RNA (1073 nucleotides) under Homo sapiens (human). RNAcentral's name for it is "HSALNT0175829". The record is from RNAcentral. Lineage: Eukaryota; Metazoa; Chordata; Mammalia; Primates; Hominidae.
GAUGCAGUUAGUCACAUAAUUAGGACAUACAACAGAAACUGAGGCAGUGGAGGCCUGGCACAGUGGCUUACACUUGUGAUCCCAACAUUUUGGGAUCACAGAAAUCAGUGUAGCUAGUCUUUCAGAUUUAUCGUGGCCAGAGGCUGUGCUCACUAGAGUCAAGGGAAGCUGCUUUACAGUCCACACAGAGCUGGAGGUACCAAAAUUCUGGGACAGUGGAGAGAACUGAGCAAAGCAACAGGCCCUGGUCAUAAGCUUGGCAGAGGCCUGCUCAGCUACUCACACUCAUGGCUAGAACCAGCAAGUGACUGCAGUGGUCUCGCCCAGUUUAGGAAGCAUUUAGGGCAGAUUGAUUCUAGCUCCAUACCAUGGCAGCAGCUUGUGGAGACUACUAAUCAUCCAGUGCCUGGCAAAGUGUAUUUCAUUCAUAUAAUGAUCCUAUGAGGCAGAAGGAAAUUAAUCAGAUGUUAAGUCAUGUGUCCAAGGGCAUUCAGCUUAGAAAUGGAACUGGGAUUUGAACCUAGAGUAACCAUAAAAUCCUUCCUUUUCUACACCACCAUGGUACCUCCUAGAUGAAGCUGAAUUUUGCCUCUAAGCUACUAGUCCUCACAAUUUAGUUUACAAGUCAUCUGGGGCAUAAAAACCAGACACCUAGACCUUAUGUAGAGAUUGCUACAGCACAGGAACAGGUGUCUUAGCAAGCAUGACGUACAACUAAGAUGUGGGUUACCAUGGAACCCAAUUUGAAAGUAAUAGUUUUACAUUCUAAGGUAUUCCAACUAUUUUUUUUCCUUAAGUUUCACAUCUUGAUAGACCCUCUACGGAAUCUCUUCUCCUAAAGCUUGUUUUUACAGUGAUCUUGCCAUUCCUGGUACCAUACACAUUAUCAUCUGGUCUGUGGUUCACUUUUUUUUUAAAUCAUUGAACCCUCCUUCACCUGGCUUUUUAAAGCCAAAAGCUUUUCUGGAGCCCCAAGAUCACCCACACUAUGUACUUCCUCAUAUUUAGGCAGUUUACAAAACAUUCACAUUUGUUAUCUCUGACUCUUAAAACAUCCCUGUGUAGAAGGCACA